UACGUAGGGUGCGAGCGUUGUCCGGAAUUAUUGGGCGUAAAGGGCUCGUAGGCGGUUUGUCGCGUCGGGAGUGAAAUCCACUGGCUUAACUGGUGGCUUGCUUUCGAUACGGGCAGACUGGAGGUAUGCAGGGGAGAGCGGAAUUCCUGGUGUAGCGGUGAAAUGCGCAGAUAUCAGGAGGAACACCGGUGGCGAAGGCGGUUCUCUGGGCAUGUCCUGACGCUGAGGAGCGAAAGCCAGGGGAGCAAACGGG
This 253-nucleotide ribosomal RNA is filed under the name uncultured bacterium. RNAcentral describes it as "partial 16S ribosomal RNA". It matches the Rfam family "Bacterial small subunit ribosomal RNA", at positions 524 to 776 of the family's 1533-position model. The record is from RNAcentral.